RNAcentral lists this ribosomal RNA (488 nucleotides) under uncultured bacterium. RNAcentral's name for it is "partial 16S ribosomal RNA". It matches the Rfam family "Bacterial small subunit ribosomal RNA", at positions 28 to 507 of the family's 1533-position model. The record is from RNAcentral.
GACGAACGCUGGCGGCGUGCUUAACACAUGCAAGUCGAACGAAAAUACCAAGCUUGCUUGGUUGAUUAGUGGCGAACGGGUGAGUAACACGUGAGUAACCUGCCCCUUACUUUCCUGGAUAACUGCUCGAAAGGGUAGCUAAUACGGGAUAUUCUGACCAGCCUGCAUGGGUUGGUUUGGAAAGGUUGUUUUUCUGGUAAGGGAUGGGCUCUCGGCCUAUCAGCUUGUUGGUGGGGUGAUGGCCUACCAAGGCUUUGACGGGUAGCCGGCCUGAGAGGGUGGAAGAUCACACUGGGACCGCGAUACAGCCCAGACUGGUAGGCGACGGAGCAGUGGGGAGGACAAUGGAGUGGGCGCAAGCCUGAUGAAGCGGCGCCGGGUGAGAGAUGAAGGCGUUCGGGAUGUAAACCUGUUUCGUAAGAGAACAAGGCAAUGAUUUUUUGGUGGUGUUGAGGGUACCUGGAGAAGAAGCGCCGGCUAACUACGUG